Molecule: ribosomal RNA, 468 nt
Filed under: uncultured bacterium
Lineage: Bacteria
Description: partial 16S ribosomal RNA
Rfam family: Bacterial small subunit ribosomal RNA
Source: RNAcentral
GACGAACGCUGGCGGCGUGCUUAACACAUGCAAGUCGAACGGAAAGGCCCUGCUCUUGUGGGGUGCUCGAGUGGCGAACGGGUGAGUAACACGUGAGUAACCUGCCCUUGACUUUGGGAUAACUUCAGGAAACUGGGGCUAAUACCGGAUAGGAGCUCCUGCUGCAUGGUGGGGGUUGGAAAGUUUCGGCGGUUGGGGAUGGACUCGCGGCUUAUCAGCUUGUUGGUGGGGUAGUGGCGUACCAAGGCUUUGACGGGUAGCCGGCCUGGGAGGGUGACCGGGCACCUUGGGACUGCGAUAGGGCCCAGUCUCCUACGGGGGGCAGCGGGGGGGAGUAUGGCACAGUGGGCGGGCGCGUGAUGCGGCGACGCCGCGUGCGGGAUGCCGGCCUUCGGGUUGUGAACCGCUUUCGCCUGUGACGAAGCGUGAGUGACGGUAACGGGUGAAGAAGCCCCGGCUAACUACGUG